AUACUCUGAUUUCUCUUCAAACGUAUAAAUCUUUCGCCUUUUACUAAAGAUUUCCGUGGAGAGAAAUAAUUCUGAGUUUUUAUUCAAUUUUUUGAAGUCUUGCGCUUGCAAGACU
This is a small nuclear RNA of Manis pentadactyla (Chinese pangolin), 115 nucleotides long. RefSeq annotates it as U5 spliceosomal RNA. Lineage: Eukaryota; Metazoa; Chordata; Mammalia; Pholidota; Manidae. The record is from RefSeq and is a predicted model, not a curated record. The transcript has a single exon.